CCCUUAGAUGUCCUGGGCUGCACGCGCGCUACACUGGAAGUUACGGAUUGAGAUACUACCUUGUCCGAAAUGGUCCGUGUAAUCACCUAAAAGCUUGUCAUAAUUGGAAUGGAUUAUUGUAACUAGUAAUCCUGAACGAGGAAUUCCUAGUAAGUCCCAGUCAACAGCUGGUACUGAUUACGUCCCUGCCCUUUGUACACACCGCCCGUCGCUACUACUGAUUGGACGUUUAAGCAAGAUUUUUAAACACUGACAGUGUGUAGUUCACGCUAUACUACAGUGAGAAGAAGAAGAUCGAGCUUACUUGUCUAGAGGAAGUAAAAGUCGUAACA
This 332-nucleotide ribosomal RNA is filed under the name uncultured eukaryote. Its description in RNAcentral is "partial 18S ribosomal RNA". It matches the Rfam family "Eukaryotic small subunit ribosomal RNA", at positions 1470 to 1796 of the family's 1831-position model. The record is from RNAcentral.